Molecule: long non-coding RNA, 2539 nt
Filed under: Scophthalmus maximus (turbot)
Lineage: Eukaryota; Metazoa; Chordata; Actinopteri; Pleuronectiformes; Scophthalmidae
Description: lncRNA (ENSSMAG00000036763.1)
Rfam family: Histone 3' UTR stem-loop (bases 430-474)
Source: RNAcentral
GUGGAGACUUGGAUCAUCAAGAUGCCUGAGCCUGCGAAGUCUGCGCCCAAGAAGGGUUCCAAGAAAGCGUGACCAAGACCGCCGCCGGCAAGGGGAGGCAAGAAGAGGAGAAAGACCAGGAAGGAGAGCUACGCCAUCUACGUGUACAAGGUGAUGAAGCAGGUUCAUCCCGACACCGGCAUCUCCUCCAAGGCCAUGGGCAUCAUGAACUCCUUUGUGAGCGACAUCUUUGAGCGCAUCGCUGCUGAGGCGUCUCGUCUGGCUCACUACAACAAGCGCUCCACCAUCACGUCCAGGGAGAUUCAGACCGCCGUGCGUCUGCUGCUGCCUGGUGAACUGGCCAAGCACGCUGUGUCCGAGGGCACCAAGGCUGUGACCAAGUACACCAGCUCCAAGUAAACCGCUCUGCUGCUGCUGCAGUCAUCCAACACAACGGCUCUUUUAAGAGCCACACACUUCAUCUGAAAGAGCAAACUGUUCACACUCCUCAGUGUCUGAUGUUUAGAUAGACUGUUAUUGAUGGAUCUCAAAUGUGACAUUGAUGUGAGGUCACAUCUGUACUUACAGAUGUUCACCUGUGACAGUAUCACUCGGGUGUGAACAGGGCCUGUGAUAAAAGGCUGCACACUGUCAGUAAAUGAGCAGCUUUUAGUUUCUCCCGUUGGAACAGCAUCUAGAACCAUGUGACUUUUUUCUUUUAAUGAAUGAUGUUUUACUCAUUUUAAUUGAUUACCGCAAUUUUUCCCUCAGUUUUAACUAUUGCUGUGCUUUUAUUUCGAGCUGUUUUUGUAAUGUUGCAUGGAGUUUCCGACUGCCCCUGAACUACUCACCAGACUUGUCACUGGCAGCAGUGUGAUGCGCAGCACGGUGUUGGCGCAGCAUCCUGUGUCCGUUUGGCGCUAUUUCUCCAGCCUGGGUCGAGAGCAGAGAACGCUGUCGCCCAGGAGGAUUGUGGACGCCGAGCGCAGGGCGAGCAGUCGAGCCGGGAAGGCGCACGGCUGUGCUGAAGAAGAGGAGCGACUCUGCGCCGCAUCCUGGACCUCGUCGGGGAAACGGACACGAAGGACUCUGGACCGGGGUUUUAAUAAUGUUAUUAUAGUAAAUGUUGUCAAGCUCCUAUCUGCAUCUAUGGAUCUGUUUAAAAUCGCCUCACUCCUGAUUUAUUAUAAGAACCGGUGUUGUCCUAGGCUCAUUCCACCCUCUAGGUGGCGUAGUCGGCAUUAUGAAUGAACUAAUCCUCAAAUUGAACUUCGUUUUAAACUUAAGAUCAACAGACACAGCAGUUUAAUGUGUCAUGGAAGUGUAAGUAAUGUAUCAUCAGCACCUCGGUGUUGUCCAACGAGCUCCACACAUCUAUAGAUUUGGGUAGAGCUCAGUAACUUUGUUCUCAGGCCUCACCCGCUCUCUGUUCCUGCCUGGACGUCCUGGUGUACAGAUGAAGUCAAGAGCUGAGCCUCCACUCUCCCCUGAACAGCUCAGGUGGAUCUUUGACAUCUGAGACAUGCAUCUGCUGAUCCAGGACCAGCUCUGGAGAUCCACCCUGUGAUUCUCUCUGCUCAUAUCAGAUACUUGCACUCAUUUUGAAAAUCUCCCUGGUGCGAGGACACGGACCAAAACACACAAUAUGUGACACAAAGGAAGGAGAUUUUAUAGAUCAGAUUGAAUUCCCUCCACACGUUGAGCUCACCAUAUAUGAUGAAUGAAUUCACAUCAAGACAGUCAACAAAUAAAAAAUAACUCACAAUAACUCUGUCAUUUUUGUUUUUUACGUGUGCCGUUGUAUUUUGUAUUUGUCACCUUUUUUUGUUCAAUUCCUAUUUAAUCUAAUAUUUUCAUAAAAGCCCUUCCAGGGACAGAUGUUGGAAAUUAGCAUAUACAGUAAACUGAUACUUUUUACACAGGUGCAGAUUGCAUCUGUCUUGUCAAAUAAACCAAUAGUGUGCAGUAUCACACUUGCUUCUUUUUUAUUAUUAUUUGUUUGAAAAAAAGUGUAAAUGUGAUUUUUUUUUUUGUUUUGUUUUGGUCAUUUCGACAGACCAGGGUGAAAUCAAGAUCUGUGCAUCAUUCACUGAAAAUGUUUCAAACAAUGAGAAAGGCAAACAAACCUGGAUCUGUCACUAACAUAACAUUCCAAAUAUGUUUGCAUAUUUGUGCUGACCAAGGUGAACAGGAGAAAACAAACUCCUCGAUCAAGAGGUGUUUCUUCUUGAUCUUAGUUGAACUACAUCAUCAAUGUGACUUUGAUGCUGUGAAAUAAAUGAUGGUUGUGAAUUAUAUACUCGGUUUAUGAUAUAGGAUCUUGAGGCACAAGGAGCUUUGACCAGGAGAGUGUGUGGCUCUAAAAAGAGCCUUUGUGUUGGAGGUUUCCAGCAGCUAUGUUUAUUUCUUUCAUGUAGUAAAUUAUAGUGAUGUUGAUCCACACUCCAUACCAACUGGUGGCAGUAAUGCACCCAGUUUCUGUUAGUCAACUGCCCAAAAAAACUCAAGAUUUUAAUUUUUGUAAUUUGUGAGCUGCAACUCACCUAUCAGUGAAGGUUUU